GUGUGCUAAUACCGCAUAAUCUCUCAGGAGAAAAGCAGGGGAUCGCAAGACCUUGCGCUUUAGGAGCGGCCGAUGCCUGAUUAGCUUGUUGGUAAGGUAAAAGCUUACCAAGGCUUCGAUCAGUAGCUGGUCUGAGAGGACGACCAGCCACACUGGGACUGAGACACGGCCCAGACUCCUACGGGAGGCAGCAGUGGGGAAUUUUGGACAAUGGGGGAAACCCUGAUCCAGCCAUGCCGCGUGAGUGAAGAAGGCCUUCGGGUUGUAAAGCUCUUUCAGCCGGAACGAAACGGUUACGAUUAAUACUCGUAAUUAAUGACGGUACCGGCAGAAGAAGCACCGGCUAACUACGUGCCAGCAGCCGCGGUAAUACGUAGGGUGCGAGCGUUAAUCGGAAUUACUGGGCGUAAAGGGUCCGCAGGUUGUUUUGUAAGUCAGAUGUGAAAGCCCCGGGCUUAACCUGGGAACUGCGUCUGAAACUACAAGGCUAGAGUAUGGCAGAGGGGGGUGGAAUUCCGCGUGUAGCAGUGAAAUGCGUAGAUAUGUGGAGGAACACCGAUGGCGAAGGCAGCCCCCUGGGUCAAUACUGACGCUGAGGGACGAAAGCAUGGGGAGCAAACAGGAUUAGAUACCCUGGUAGUCCAUGCCCUAAACGAUGUCAACUAGUUGUCGGGCCUUUACGGGCUUGGUAACGUAGCUAACGCGUGAAGUUGACCGCCUGGGGAGUACGAUCGCAAGAUUAAAACUCAAAUGAAUUGACGGGGACCCGCACAAGCGGUGGAUUAUGUGGAUUAAUUCGAUGCAACGCGAAAAACCUUACCUACCCUUGACAUGUAUCGAAGCCCGCAGAAAAGCGGGGGUGCCCGAAAGGGAACGAUAACACAGGUGCUGCAUGGCUGUCGUCAGCUCGUGUCGUGAGAUGUUGGGUUAAGUCCCGCAACGAGCGCAACCCUUGUCAUUAAUUGCCAUCAUUUAGUUGGGCACUUUAAUGAGACUGCCG
This 1000-nucleotide ribosomal RNA is filed under the name uncultured Nitrosospira sp. RNAcentral describes it as "bacterial SSU rRNA". It matches the Rfam family "Bacterial small subunit ribosomal RNA", at positions 158 to 1154 of the family's 1533-position model. Lineage: Bacteria; Pseudomonadati; Pseudomonadota; Betaproteobacteria; Nitrosomonadales; Nitrosomonadaceae. The record is from RNAcentral.